RNAcentral lists this unclassified non-coding RNA (339 nucleotides) under Hevea brasiliensis (rubber tree). The record is from RNAcentral. Lineage: Eukaryota; Viridiplantae; Streptophyta; Magnoliopsida; Malpighiales; Euphorbiaceae.
GAGAGAGAGAGAGAGAGAGAAAUUGGGAACUGAUUUUUUUUUUUAUUUUUUAAUGUUAAAUUAUUAAAAAAUAAUUUUAUAUUUAAUAUAAAAUAUUAUUUCAUACCACAUCAGCCAGGUAGAUGCCGUCUUCCUUAAAAGCCGUCAGUUGCUAAUAGAGCAUUACCACAGGGUGUCUCUUUAUUACAAAGUAAAUGAAGUGAAAAUGGGUAAAAUUACAUAAUACUUUUUGAUAAUUUUCCCUAUUUAUUUCUUCUGGUAGGUGAUUAAAAAUGAAGUUAUAUAAAUUCACUUUGAUAUAAUAAGGGACUUGUGUGCAGAUAUGUUGAAGCAAGUACU